RNA transcript from Lutra lutra (Eurasian river otter), 3539 nucleotides. It is a transcript of the gene named MYST/Esa1 associated factor 6, with no coding region annotated. The transcript has 9 exons. The record is from RefSeq and is a predicted model, not a curated record. Lineage: Eukaryota; Metazoa; Chordata; Mammalia; Carnivora; Mustelidae.
CUGGCGGGCGGCGGCGCACAGGGACCGCCCCAGCCUGGCGCCGCCGCCGCCGCCCGCCUCAGCCCAACAUGGCGAUGCACAACAAGGCGGCGCCGCCGCAGAUCCCGGACACCCGGCGGGAGCUGGCGGAGCUCGUGAAGCGGAAGCAGGAGCUGGCGGAAACACUGGCAAACUUGGAGAGACAGAUCUAUGCCUUUGAAGGAAGCUACCUGGAAGACACUCAGAUGUAUGGCAAUAUUAUUCGUGGCUGGGAUCGGUAUCUGACCAACCAGAAAAACUCCAAUAGCAAAAACGAUCGAAGGAACCGGAAGUUUAAGGAAGCUGAGCGGCUCUUCAGUAAAUCCUCAGUUACUUCAGCAGCUGCAGUAAGUGCGUUGGCAGGAGUUCAGGAUCAGCUCAUUGAAAAGAGGGAGCCAGGAAGUGGGACGGAAAGUGAUACUUCUCCAGACUUCCACAAUCAGGAGAAUGAGCCCAGCCAGGAGGACCCUGAGGAUCUGGACGGAUCUGUGCAGGGAGUGAAGCCUCAGAAGGCUGCUUCUUCUACUUCCUCAGGGAGUCAUCACAGCAGCCAUAAAAAACGAAAGAAUAAAAACCGACACAGCCCGUCUGGCAUGUUUGAUUAUGACUUUGAGUAUGUAUAUUAGGUUAGGCUGGGAAGUUUUUUUUAAAAACAGAAAAACGUGAUGGAGGAUUGAUCUGAAGUUAAACAAAAAACCACGAGCUGACUAUUAGAAGACUCAUUAGUGCAGAAGCUGCAGAAGCUUCCAGGCUGUAGAGCCCUGCUUCCCUCCUCCAACCUCACAAAGAUACAUAUCCCUCACCUGAGUGCACAGCCACCCACCUCUGCUUUCCCAGACCCAGUGCCUGUGACUCUGAAUAGUUUGUUCUGAAACGUGGUGACAAGUCAUUUCUGUAAGACCACAUUGGAUCAUUUACUGUGUGUCAUUUUUAGUAACAGAACUGCAAGAAGGCCAAGACAUGGUUAUAAUUCCAGCAAGUUGCUAACGCUGCAUUUCUCCCUUCUUGGAAUGAAUGUGUCCCCGCAAACUGGCUGGCACCAGCUUCAUCUGUGAUACCCAUCAAGAAAUGUUCUCUGGUUUUGUUUUAUGCUGAAGGUAGAAUGUAGGUCACGUUUCAGAGGGAGGCUGUAAAUAUCGGGCAUUUUCUUAUUUUGUUUGUGUUUUAUUAUUUUUCUAUUGUUUUUACCAUCUUCUUUUCUUUGGGACUUUUUGUAAUGCCGUUGUACAGCUCAUACCUUCCUGCCAACAUAUCUGAUCAUCUGCUUCAUGCCGUUGCCAGUAUUCUUAACUGAAAAGAAUCUGGUUUACCAUAAAGAAAAUGGGGAACUUGGCUCUGUGUUUUUGCAGGGGGAAGGUAAAGAGGGUUUAUUUAAUAAUUACCUAUCUUAAAUCUUUCUGCGUUGGAAGCAGUUUCAUGUUCAAGGAACAGGAAAAGCUGAAAAACCUAAGUUUAAAUCAAUCCUUUUAAAAUAGAUAUUUUUAUUCUUUUAUAUAAAUAAAAUUUCACAGGUGUUGACUUCUCAUGCUUAUUUUAAACCUGAGAUUGUUUUUUCACUUAUUUUAUUUAUUCAUAUCAUGCCUUAUGGAAAUUUCUUCCUUUUUCCAUUUUUCUUUCUUUGCUGGUAUCUGCCUGAUUAAACAUUGCUCUAAAAAUCACUAAGGUAUAUGGAAAGGCUCAGCAUUACCCCCAGAGCCGGUAACGUUUGGAAUUCUUGAGGAGAGUGAGAGAUGGGAUCUGCGAGAGCCAGCAAUGCCCAGCAGACCCCCUACCUCACAGGGCUGCUCAGGCUGGGGAGCUUGCCAGUUCAUUGAGAUGUUAUCUGCCUCUGGAGUGGGGCUUGACCUCGGCUGCUCACAGGAGUCACCUGGGAAGCUUAAGGACCUGCUGGUGCCUGGGUCCCACCCCCAGAGACUCUGACUGGGGUGCAGUCUAGUGGCUGGGAUUUCCUUCCAAAGAGUCCCUGGGAUUCUGAUGAGAAGCCAGGUUUGAGAACCACUGCAUGAGGAGUGUUUGAUUGAAAUCCCAUGUUGCAAAUCAGUCUAGGAGAUAAGAUUUGGGGCCCCAUCUUUCCUUUGAUGCUGUCUAGUCAUAGUCCUUGACUUAGGCCCAUAUAUCUUUGUUAGAACAAGUAUGUUCCAUUGUGAUAAUAUUGGUAGAGUUGAAUACGGAUGGCAUCUAUUAGCAGAACGAGUCUACCUUGUCAGAUGUGCAAAAGCUUUUACUCUUGUUCUCAAAUAAACUUUUUUUUUUUUUUUUGACUCUGUGGCUAAUUAGAGGUCUUUGGUAGCAAGAACUCCAAUGUUAAGGUUUUUAAGAAAAUAGUUUCUUAUAUUUAGAUUGAUCCUUUAAAAAAGAAAAAAAAAACAAUUAUAAAGCUUAAAACCAUGGGGACCAAAAGAUUUCUAUAUCCUCCUUUGUCAGUUUCUCUCCUUUCCUGUGAGAGAAAGUGGGGCUUCCUGUGGUCUCCGUGGCCCAGAGGAGAGCGCACAGCAAACCUGAGAAUAUUUCUCUCAUAGUUUUGACAUUUGCUUGAGAUCUGGUGGGAUUGCUCUUAAAAAGUUAUAUUAUAUAAAAACAUACCUGUGUAUAUGAAUACACAUGUAUGUAUAUGAUCAUGGUUAGAGGUAGGCUGCUUGCUUUAUACUUAUUUUCUCUGUAAAGUUUUCAGUCAUUGAUUAGGGGACCUCCCAAGUUUUCCUGUAAGCUGGCCACAGACUAAAGAUAUUUAAGUCACGAGGGAGUGCUUAUGUUCUCUAAAUUGGAGUCAUUUGGGCAGAAACCCCAAGAGAUGCCUACCAUGCUUGUGAUAUUUGUCGCUUUGGUUAUUAACUAAGUUUGUCUGAAAGACUCAGACCUGACCAGUGACCCUGCCAGAGUGGCUGCCAGGACCCAUGAGAGGGACUUCCUUCUAGGCAGGCCUUCACCGGAUUAUCAGGGUCUGGAAUAGUAUUUUGCUUUAGGCCCUUAGGCUUCUUAUCUCCACAACGGGAAGAAGUUGCCCUUAGCUCCUGUUCGAGGUUAUAAGACACUGAACAAAAUCCAGACUCGUGGUAGUUCUAUUUCAUGUCUUCUCCUGGGAGGAUGGUGUCUGUACACAGCUCCCAAGGGAGUCUCAAGUAUGCUUGCUUUUCCCGAGGCUGAGAAAUCGUUUAUUUUGUUGAAACUCCGCAUGUUCUAAAUAGCGUCACACCCUGCAGGCUGAAGAUGGAGAGCAGGGACAACCCGCAAAGGAGAGGACUGCUUGUUCUGUGGGGCCAGCGGGAGGGCCUGAGGGAAGUGCCGGGAGUCGGACGGGGUCAGCAGGCCGAGGGCACAGGAGUUCAGUGCUGCUGUCCGCGUCUUGGGGGCCUCCGGAAUGCUUUGAGAAAUGGAGCCUUUGGGGGCUAGAGAGUACUCUGUAAGUAUCCUACAAGGAGGACUGUUGAUACUGCAACCUGUGUGGUGAAUAAAGGAAUGGAAACAAGUAUUUAAAUGGCCUAACUUUGAAAGGAGUAAAUAUGCUGUUUUGAAACACUCUG